GAGGGGGGUGUGUCUGCCUGUGUGGGGGGGUGGGGGAAGCCGCGGGAUGAGACGCAGGCCCCUCCCGGUACCCCGGGGGUCCGGGCUCCAUGUAGCCGGCCAGUCCGAUCCGCUCGGCUGGGGACGGCGCAGCACCCCAACCCCCUCCGCCCUCCCCGCCCCAGGCCGGCCCGGACCCCUGAGGAGACCCUGCCGAUCCCCCGCCCAGCUGGCCCCCUUUCCGGGCUGAGGGGGGGCGGGCGCGGCUUAUUGCCACGGGUGCCACGGGGCCUAGGCCCCGGAACCACGGGCGCGAGGGAGGGCGGGUGGGCGGGCAGGGGCCCCGCAGCUAGGCCGGAGGUGGAAGCUGGCUGGCUGGCUCACCCUGGCAUUUAUUUCUCUUGCCCUGCUAGGACCGAACCGCGGUGGGGCCGGCCGGCAGCGCCGCCCCGGCCCGCCCGGGCCCGUCGCUGGAGGCUGCUGCCCGCCCCUCGGCGGGGGCACCCCGACUUUGGGCCGCGAACUCCGCCACGGGAGGAGGAGAGGAACUGCAGGCCCGAACCACGGUGGGGCCUGCCGGCGGUGCCGGCCCAGCCCGUCCGGGCCCAACGCUGGAGCCUGCUGCCCGCCCUUCAGCGGGGCCACACCGACCUUAGUGGGAGAAGAUGGAGAGCAUCUGCAGGUGAGUCGGGGGGGGCGGGCGGCGCCGUACCCUUCGAGUCGCCCUCACUGUCGUCGUCGCCACCGCCGCCCUGGCAGGGUCCCGCCCCGAGCGGCUGGAGAGCCUGGCCCCGCCGGACCGGCCGGCCCCCCCAACCUCCUCCUCCCUUGCCUCGACCAGCAGGAUGCGUAGGAGGAGGAGCCGGAGCCAGCGGAGGAGGAUUCUUCCUUUUCUUCUUCUUCUUCCUCUUCUUCUUCUUGUUCUUCUUGUGGCUUUGGACUCUCUGGCCCCACCGGCCCCCCCACGGGACGACCCGGUGUUCCCCCCCUUUUCCCCGUCUUGGGCCCUCCCCUCUUGCCCUCGCGCCGGCUCUCUCCCCCUCCCCUGGCCUGGCCUUGCCUGGCCUGGCCCUGCGCGCCCUCCCUUCUGGUGCGAGGCCCCCCCUUGGUCCCGGUUUUGCCUUUGGCCGCUCGCGCCCCCCUUUCCCCUCUCGCCACCCCCCUUGUCCUCCCAUCGCCUGGCCUCGACCUCGGGCCCCGCCGUCUGCCUGGCCUCCGCUUGGUCCCCGGCCUCCGGUGUUCCCGGAGCGCUCGCCGACCUCGGCUCCGGCCCUCCCCCACGGCCCUGGCCGCCGCCUCCCCGUUUCUGCUGCUGGCUUCCCCUUGCCGCCCCCCCCCCGCUCCUCUUGGCCCCUGCCCUCCCCGGGUCCCCUCUCCUCCCCUGGGUCGGUCCCCAGCUCGCCCCAUCUUUGUUCCCCGUCGGUCCUGAGCUCCCGGCCGGUCCUUUUCUGCGCGUCUGACUUUUGCUCCCGCCCUGCCCUUUGCUCCCGGCCCCACGUUUUCUCCCGGCCAAACCUCAGGUCCCAGCCUGACCUUUUCUCUCAGCUAAACCUUUUCGGCGGGUCUGCCCUUUGCUCCCGGCCUGAUCUUUUCUCCCGGCUAAACCAAUGCUCCCGGUUAAACCUCUGCCGCCGGUCUGCCCUUUGCUCCCGGCCUGAUCUUUUCUCCCGGCUAAACCUCUGCUCCCAGUUAAACCUCUUCCCCCGGCACUCCCUUUGCUCCCGGCCUGAUCAUUUCUCCCGGCUAAACCUCUGCUCCUGGUUAAACCUCUGCCCCCGGCCCGCCCUUUGCUCCCGGCCUGAUCAUUUCUCCCGGCUAAACCUCUGCUCCUGGUUAAACCUCUGCCCCCGGCACUCCCUUUGCUCCCGGCCUGAUCUUUUCUCCUGGCUAAACCUCUGCUCCCGGCCCGCCCUUUGCUCCCGGCCUGGUCUUUUCUCCCGGCUAAACCUCUGCCCGCGGCCUGACCUGUGCUCCAGACCUGACCUUUUUCUUCUGGAUUAACCUUUUCUGUGGGCCUGACCUUUGCUCCCGGCCCCACCUUUUCUGCGGGUCUCCCUUUGCUCCCGGCCUGAUCUUUUCUCCCGGCUAAACCUCUGCCCCCGGCCCGCCCUGUGCUCCCGGCUUGAUCUUUUCUCCCGGCUAAACCUCUGCUCCCGGUUAAACGUCUGCCCCCGGCCCGCCAUUUGCUCCCAGCCCCAUCUUUUCUCCCGGCUAAACCUCUGCUCCCAGCCUGACCUGUGCUCCCGACCUGACCUUUAAUUCCGGCCUAAACUUUUCUGCGGGUCUGACUUUUCUUCCGCCCUAACCUUUUCUGCGGGUCUAACCUCUGCUCCUGGCCUGACCUGUGCUCCCGACCUUACCUUUUUCUUCCGGAUUAACCUUUUCAGCGGGCCUGACCUUUGCUCCCGGCCCGCCCUUUGCUCCCGGCCCGCCCUUUGCUCCCGGCCUGGUCUUUUCUCCCGGUUAAACCUCUGCCCCCGGCCCGCCCUUUGUUUCCGACCGGAUCUUUUCUGCUGGCUAAACCUCUGCCCCCGGCCCGCCCUUUGCUCCCGGCCUGAUCCUUUCUUCCGGCCUGAUGUUUUCUCCCGGCUAAAUCUCUGCCCCCGGCCCGCCCUUUGCUCCCGGCCUGAUCUUUUCUCCCGGCUAAACCUCUGCUCCCGGUUUAACCUUUGCCCCCGGCCGGCCCUUUGCUCCCGGCCUGAUCUUUUCUCCCGGCUAAACCUCUGCUCCCGGCCAAACCUCUGCCCCCGGCCCGCCAUUUGCUCCUGGCCUGACCUUUUCUCCCGGCCUGACCUCUGCCCCCGGCCCGCCCUUUGCUCCCGGCCUGAUGUUUUCUUCCGGGUAAACCUCUGCUCCCGGUGAAACCUCUGCCCCCGGCCCGUCCUUUCCUCCAAGCCUGACCUUUUCUCCCAGCCCCAUAUUUUCUCCUGGCCAAACCUCUGCCCCCGGCCCGCCCUUUGCUCCCGGCCUGAUCUCUGCUCCCGGCUAAACCUCUGUUCCCUGUUAAACCUCUGCCCCCGGCCAGCCCUUUGCUCCCGGCUUGAUCUUUUCUCCCGGCUAAACCUCUGCUCCCGGUUAAACGUCUGCCCCCGGCCCGCCAUUUGCUCCCAUCCCCAUCUUUUCUCCCGGCUAAACCUCUGCUCCGGGCCUGACUUGUGCUUCCGACCUGAUCUUUUUCUUCCGGAUCAAUCUUCUCUGCGGGCCUGACCUUUGCUCCCGGCCCCACCUUUUCUGCGGGCCUGCCCUUUGCUCCCGGCCUGAUUUUUUCUCCCGGCCAAACCUGUGCCUCCGGUUAAACCUCUGCCCCCGGCCCGCCCUUUUCUCCCGGCCUGAUCUUUUCUCCUGGCCAAACCUCUGCUCCCGGUGAAACCUCUGCCCCCGGCCCGCCCUUUGCUCCCGGCCUGAUCUUUUCUUCCUUCCUGAUCUUUUCUCCCGGCCAAACCUCUGCUCGCGGCCCGCCCUUUGCUCCCGGCCUGAUGUUUUCUUCCGGCCAAACCUCUGCCCCCGGCCCGCCGUUUGCUCCCGGCCUGAUGUUUUCUCCCGGCCUGACCUCUGCCCCCGGCCCGCCCUUUGCUCCCGGCCUGAUCUUUUCUCACGGCCAAAUCUCUGCUCCCGGCCCGCCCUUUGCUCCCAGCCCCAUCUUUUCUCCCGGCUAAACCUCUGCUCCGGGUUAAAUCUCUGCCCCCGGUCCGCCCUUUGCUUCCGACCGGGUCUUUUCUCCCCGCUAAACCUCUGCCCCCGGCCCGCCCUUUGCUCCCGGCCUGAUGUUUUUUUCCGGCCUGAUCUUUUAUCCCGGCCAAACCUUUUCCUCCGGCCUGACCUUUUUCUUCCGGCCGGAACUUUUCGGCGGGUCUGGGCUCUGCUCCCGGCGCGAUCUUUGCCCCCGGCCCCAGCUUUUCUCCCGGCUAAACCUCUGCUCCCGGUUAAAUCUCUGCCCCCGGCCCGCCCUUUGAUCCCGGCCUGAUCUUUUCUCCCGGCUAAACCUCUGCUCCCGGUUAAACCUCUGCCCCCGGCCCGCCCUUUGCUCCCGGCCUGAUCUUUUCUUCCAGCUAAACCUCUGGCCGAGGCCUUACCUGUGCUCCUACCUGACCUUUUUCAUCUGGAUUAACCUUUUCUGCGGGCCUGACCUUUGCUCCCGGCCCCACCUUUUCUGCGUGUCUCCCUUUGCUCCCAGCCUGAUCUUUUUUCCCGGCUAAACCAAUGCUCCCGGUUAAACCUCUGCCCGCGGCCCGCCCUUUACUCCCGGCCUGAUCGUUUCUCCCGGCUAAACCUCUGCUCCCGGUUAAACCUCUGCCACCGGCCCGCCCUGUGCUCCCGGCCUGAUCUUUUUUCCCAGCUAAACCUCAGCUCCCGGUUAAACCUCUGCCCCCGGCCCACCCUUUGCUCCCGGCCUGAUCUUUUCUCCCGGCUAAACCUCUGCUCCCGCUUAAACAUCUGCCCCCGGCCCGCCCUUUGCUCCCGGCCUGAUCUUUUCUUCCGGAUACACCUCUGGCCGUGGCCUUACCUCUGCUCCAGACCUGACCGUUUUCUUCUGGAUUAACCUUUUCUG
Molecule: long non-coding RNA, 4528 nt
Filed under: Ornithorhynchus anatinus (platypus)
Lineage: Eukaryota; Metazoa; Chordata; Mammalia; Monotremata; Ornithorhynchidae
Description: lncRNA (ENSOANG00000043377.1)
Source: RNAcentral